UGCCAGCCGCCGCGGUAAUACGGAGGGUGCAAGCGUUGUUCGGAUUCACUGGGUAUAAAGGGCGCGCAGGCGGUCUUGUCCGUCAGGUGUGAAAGCUCGGGGCUCAACCCCGGAAGUGCACUUGAAACAGCAAGACUUGAAUACGGUAGAGGAGAGAGGAAUUCCUGGUGUAGAGGUGAAAUUCGUAGAUAUCAGGAGGAACACCGAUGGCGAAGGCAUCUCUCUGGGACGGAACUGACGCUGAUGAACGAAAGCUAGGGUAUCAAACGGGAUUAGAUA
RNAcentral lists this ribosomal RNA (279 nucleotides) under uncultured bacterium. Its description in RNAcentral is "partial 16S ribosomal RNA". It matches the Rfam family "Bacterial small subunit ribosomal RNA", at positions 506 to 784 of the family's 1533-position model. The record is from RNAcentral.